RNAcentral lists this ribosomal RNA (213 nucleotides) under Helicobacter pylori. RNAcentral describes it as "partial 23S ribosomal RNA". It matches the Rfam family "Bacterial large subunit ribosomal RNA", at positions 1898 to 2110 of the family's 2925-position model. Lineage: Bacteria; Pseudomonadati; Campylobacterota; Epsilonproteobacteria; Campylobacterales; Helicobacteraceae. The record is from RNAcentral.
GAUGAAGCGUUGAAUUGAAGCCCGAGUAAACGGCGGCCGUAACUAUAACGGUCCUAAGGUAGCGAAAUUCCUUGUCGGUUAAAUACCGACCUGCAUGAAUGGCGUAACGAGAUGGGAGCUGUCUCAACCAGAGAUUCAGUGAAAUUGUAGUGGAGGUGAAAAUUCCUCCUACCCGCGGCAAGACGGAAAGACCCCGUGGACCUUUACUACAAC